UGGGAAUGGCCUAACUUAUAGCUGACAUGAGGUGUCGGGGGUCGGAGGUUCAAAUCCUCUCGUGCCGACCA
RNAcentral lists this transfer RNA (71 nucleotides) under Enterobacter hormaechei subsp. xiangfangensis. Its description in RNAcentral is "tRNA-Leu (CAA) (tRNA-Leu-CAA-2-1)". Lineage: Bacteria; Pseudomonadati; Pseudomonadota; Gammaproteobacteria; Enterobacterales; Enterobacteriaceae. The record is from RNAcentral.